This 431-nucleotide ribosomal RNA is filed under the name uncultured bacterium. RNAcentral describes it as "bacterial SSU rRNA". It matches the Rfam family "Bacterial small subunit ribosomal RNA", at positions 64 to 507 of the family's 1533-position model. The record is from RNAcentral.
GAACGUCCACUGUCUUCGGGCAGAGGGAGUGGCGGACGGGUGAGGAACACGUGGGUGACCUACCCCCGGUGAGGAAUACCGCCGAGAAAUCGGCGACAAGACCGCAUAGGCUUUCCUUCUCGAAGGGAAGCAAAGCUUCUAUUCGCAAGAGUGGAGGCGCCAGGGGAUGGGCCUGCGCCCGAUUAGCUGGUUGGUGGGGUAAGAGCUCACCAAGGCGACGAUCGGUAGCUGGUCUGAGAGGAUGAGCAGCCACACUGGGAUUGAGAACGGCCCAGACUCCUACGGGAGGCAGCAGUGAGGAAUUUUCCACAAUGGGGGCAACCCUGAUGGAGCAACGCCGCGUGCAGGAAGACGCGUUUCGGCGUGUAAACUGCUUUUCCCAGGGACGAGAUUGGACGGUACCUGGGGAAUCAGCCCCGGCUAACUACGUG